RNAcentral lists this ribosomal RNA (440 nucleotides) under uncultured bacterium. RNAcentral's name for it is "partial 16S ribosomal RNA". It matches the Rfam family "Bacterial small subunit ribosomal RNA", at positions 338 to 795 of the family's 1533-position model. The record is from RNAcentral.
CCUACGGGAGGCUGCAGUGGGGGAUAUUGCACAAUGGGGGGAACCCUGAUGCAGCGACGCCGCGUGGGUGAAGAAGCGCCUCGGCGCGUAAAGCCCUGUCAGCAGGGAAGAAAAUGACGGUACCUGAAGAAGAAGCCCCGGCUAACUACGUGCCAGCAGCCGCGGUAAUACGUAGGGGGCAAGCGUUAGCCGGAUUUACUGGGUGGAAAGGGGGCGCUGACGGGGAUGCAAGCCCGGAGGGAAAGCCCGGGGCCCAACCCCGGGACUGCUCUUUGAACUGCGUGGCUUGAGUGCAGGAGGGGCAGGCGGAAUUCCUGGUGUAGCGGGGAAAUGCGUAGAGAUCAGGAGGAACACCGGUGGCGAAGGCGGCCUGCUGGACUGCAACUGACGUUGAGGCCCGAAAGCGUGGGGAGCAAACAGGAGUAGAUACCCCAGUAGUC